GAUGAACACUGGCGGCGUGCCUAAUACAUGCAAGUCGAGCGAACGGACGAGAAGCUUGCUUCUCUGAUGUUAGCGGCGGACGGGUGAGUAACACGUGGAUAACCUACCUAUAAGACUGGGAUAACUUCGGGAAACCGGAGCUAGUACCGGAUAAUAUUUUGAACCGCAUGGUUCAAAAGUGAAAGACGGUCUUGCUGUCACUUAUAGAUGGAUCCGCGCUGCAUUAGCUAGUUGGUAAGGUAACGGCUUACCAAGGCAACGAUGCAUAGCCGACCUGAGAGGGUGAUCGGCCACACUGGAACUGAGACACGGUCCAGACUCCUACGGGAGGCAGCAGUAGGGAAUCUUCCGCAAUGGGCGAAAGCCUGACGGAGCAACGCCGCGUGAGUGAUGAAGGUCUUCGGAUCGUAAAACUCUGUUAUUAGGGAAGAACAUAUGUGUAAGUAACUGUGCACAUCUUGACGGUACCUAAUCAGAAAGCCACGGCUAACUACGUG
RNAcentral lists this ribosomal RNA (497 nucleotides) under uncultured bacterium. RNAcentral describes it as "partial 16S ribosomal RNA". It matches the Rfam family "Bacterial small subunit ribosomal RNA", at positions 28 to 507 of the family's 1533-position model. The record is from RNAcentral.